AAAAGUCGUAACAAGGUUUCCGUAGGUGAACCUGCGGAAGGAUCAUUAACCUUUCAAAUCAGGGUGCGUCGCGGCCCCCGAGGAGCGGAAACAAUCCUUGGGAGGUUUGCGGAGUCUUCGGACCCCUUAACGCACGCACGACUGCCAUCCUUACUUUACGAGCACCUUCUGUUCUCCCUCGGCGGGGCAACCUGCCGUUGGAACCGAAUAAACUCUUUUUGCAUCUAGCAUUACCUGUUCCGAAACAAACAAUCGUUACAACUUUCAACAAUGGAUCUCUUGGCUC
RNAcentral lists this unclassified non-coding RNA (286 nucleotides) under air metagenome. RNAcentral describes it as "partial contains small subunit ribosomal RNA, internal transcribed spacer 1, and 5.8S ribosomal RNA". The stretch from base 1 to 48 matches the Rfam family "Eukaryotic small subunit ribosomal RNA", at positions 1784 to 1831 of the family's 1831-position model. The record is from RNAcentral.